This 1220-nucleotide long non-coding RNA is filed under the name Canis lupus familiaris (dog). RNAcentral's name for it is "lncRNA (ENSCAFG00030023214.1)". Lineage: Eukaryota; Metazoa; Chordata; Mammalia; Carnivora; Canidae. The record is from RNAcentral.
CUUGUUCAGUCACUGGCCACGAGCAGCCUGUGGGAAGCGUGGCCUCCCACAAGUGUGUUGGUGGAUCCAGAAGACAAGCAGCGAAGCCUCCCGUUCUGCCCUCUGCAGUGGAUCUGCACGGGGCUGCUUCUAGCAUUACAGUGGUUUAACCCAAUAGGGGUCUGCAGUAAGUGGGCACCUGCUGGCACCUGAGCUGGGGUGGCUGCUACGCCUUGGGUGUGUCAUCCUGGUUGGAGAUGAGCGUAGCCCCAGCAGCUCCCAUCCACGGUCAGCAAGAGGGAGGCGGGGUGGGAGCCCCUCUGUGAAGAAAGCCAGAUCUUUCCCAGGAGCCUCACAGCAGCCUACGCCUCCUUGACCUGAGCCAGGGCUUGUGGCCAGGUGGCCUGGAGAGAAAGUCGGGUCAGCCCCCCCUAUGGUGCGCCUGCCCCAGAGGAAGCCCCUGAAACUGGCGCUUGAGUUCCCUGCAGACCUGGGGUCGGGUGCUUCCCCCAGGGCCCCUGGCCUCGGCCUGGAGUGUCUCCUGACAGCUCAGCAGGCGGCACCUGGAGCUGCACACUUCGUUAUGGCCUCGCAGCAAAGCGGUUAACCUCUGCUCCGAAGGCUGAGUCUGUGACUGGAAGGGAAAUGGCUUUUGUUGUUUGGCCACCACCUACCAUGUGCUUCCACGUGUUGUUUUCUCUUCCUACUGAACUCGUGUGCGAGGUGGAUGUUGUUUCAGGCACUGGGGCGUGUCUCCUCCUGUCUGCUCUGCCUCUCCUGUUGGGUGGCAGCCACGGAGUUUGGUAUGUGGGUGCCAGAUCCCCAGGGUGGUCUGACUAGUCUGAGUCCAUCAGAGCAAUCCCCUCCCCUUGUGGUCGGUUCAGAAAUGGACUGACAGCCAGUGUGGCUCUGUGAGACUGGGGUAGAAUUGCUGGGGCUUCUAGAGGUUUUUUGUCCCCUUUGGGUUAGAGAGAAAGCUGCAGAUGACCAGUUUCUGUCUUCGGCUAGAUGUGAACAAGAACACCAGAUUGCUCCGGCUGCGUCCUGUGACCCCGAGGGAGUCCAGCACCAAACAGUGGCAGGGAGGCAGAAAGAGGCCAUCCAAGAUGCCAAAAGGAAAGAAGGCUAAGAGGAAGAAGGUGGCCCUAGCCCCUGCUGUUUUAACGGAACAAGAGGCCAAGAAAGUAUCAGCCCCAUUUGACAAAAGGCCCAAGAAUUUUGGCAUCAGACAGGAUAUCUAA